UACGUAGGGGGCAAGCGUUGUCCGGAAUCAUUGGGCGUAAAGAGCGUGUAGGCGGCCCGGUAAGUCCGCUGUGAAAGUCCAGGGCUCAACCCUGGAAUGCCGGUGGAAACUGUCAAGCUCGAGUCCGGAAGAGGCGAGUGGAAUUCCUGGUGUAGCGGUGAAAUGCGCAGAUAUCAGGAGGAACACCAAUGGCGAAGGCAGCUCGCUGGGACGGUACUGACGCUGAGACGCGAAAGCGUGGGGAGCAAACAGG
Molecule: ribosomal RNA, 253 nt
Filed under: uncultured bacterium
Lineage: Bacteria
Description: partial 16S ribosomal RNA
Rfam family: Bacterial small subunit ribosomal RNA
Source: RNAcentral